GUGAAUCAUCAAAUUUUUGAACGCAAAUUGCACUCUCCUCGGAGAGUAUGCCUGUUUGAGGGUCGUUAGAACAAAAAUCGAAGCGUCGCUCUUUUUUUUUAAGGGUGAUCGCGUCGGAAUUGAGCCGUCUUUCAAAUGUUAAUUCAUGUCGAAGUGGCUUGAAAUUCAUCCGGAACGCAUGAAGCAUAUUUAAGUAAGACUUUGAUUAA
Molecule: unclassified non-coding RNA, 209 nt
Filed under: Funneliformis mosseae
Lineage: Eukaryota; Fungi; Glomeromycota; Glomeromycetes; Glomerales; Glomeraceae
Description: partial contains 5.8S ribosomal RNA and internal transcribed spacer 2
Rfam family: 5.8S ribosomal RNA (bases 1-65)
Source: RNAcentral